Molecule: ribosomal RNA, 253 nt
Filed under: uncultured bacterium
Lineage: Bacteria
Description: partial 16S ribosomal RNA
Rfam family: Bacterial small subunit ribosomal RNA
Source: RNAcentral
UACGGGGGGAGCAAGCGUUGUUCGGAUUUACUGGGCGUAAAGGGCGCGUAGGCGGCAAUUCAAGUCAUCUGUGAAAUCUCCGGGCUUAACUCGGAACGGUCAGAUGAUACUGCUUUGCUAGAGUGCGGAAGGGGCAAUCGGAAUUCUUGGUGUAGCGGUGAAAUGCGUAGAUAUCAAGAGGAACACCUGAGGUGAAGACGGGUUGCUGGGCCGACACUGACGCUGAGGCGCGAAAGCCAGGGGAGCAAACGGG